GGACGGGUGAGUAACGCGUGGGUAACCUGCCCUGUACACACGGAUAACAUACCGAAAGGUAUGCUAAUACGGGAUAACAUAAGAAAGUCGCAUGGAUUUCUUAUCAAAGCUUCUGCGGUACAGGAUGGACCCGCGUCUGAUUAGCUAGUUGGUAAGGUAACGGCUUACCAAGGCGACGAUCAGUAGCCGACCUGAGAGGGUGAUCGGCCACAUUGGAACUGAGACACGGUCCAAACUCCUACGGGAGGCAGCAGUGGGGAAUAUUGCACAAUGGGCGAAAGUCUGAUGCAGCGACGCCGCGUGAGCGAUGAAGGCCUUCGGGUCGUAAAGCUCUGUCCUCAAGGAAGAUAAUGACGGUACUUGAGGAGGAAGCCCCGGCUAACUACGUGCCAGCAGCCGCGGUAAUACGUAGGGGGCUAGCGUUAUCCGGAAUUACUCGGGCGUAAAGGGUGCGUAGGCGGUCUUUCAAGUCAGAAGUGAAAGGCUACGGCUCGACCGUAGUAAGCUUUUGAAACUGUAAGACUUGAGUGCA
This 532-nucleotide ribosomal RNA is filed under the name uncultured Clostridium sp. Its description in RNAcentral is "bacterial SSU rRNA". It matches the Rfam family "Bacterial small subunit ribosomal RNA", at positions 100 to 650 of the family's 1533-position model. Lineage: Bacteria; Bacillati; Bacillota; Clostridia; Eubacteriales; Clostridiaceae. The record is from RNAcentral.